AAAGAAACAACAAAAUAAGCGCAGACAUAAUCACCAAUAAAAAAUUUAAGAAAAUAAGUUCAUACUUCAGUGGGGCACCUCCUUGAAUUAUGACAUGUCUUAUUGCAAAUACCACAAUGUGGUACUCUUCCUUUGCGACCAACCUUCUUCUUUGAGGGUGACUCAUAUAAUCCCUUAAUCCUAGCUUUUCCCUUAGGUCUUCCUGGAGGACGUUUGUAAGUCGGUCCAACAAUGCGUCCUCCUCCACAAUCACUCCAAAUUUUGUUCCAUUGACCGGCUUCAAAUCUUUCCGAUAAGUCUCUCUCCAUUUCUCCGUGCUGUAGUAGUCAGAGAUUUAGUCCUCAACCAAGCCGGUGUUCUCUCUGAUCGCACACACAACAUGACGACAUGGAAUGCCAGUUAGAUCCCACUUUCAACAUGCACAAGUCC
Molecule: long non-coding RNA, 429 nt
Filed under: Brassica napus (rape)
Lineage: Eukaryota; Viridiplantae; Streptophyta; Magnoliopsida; Brassicales; Brassicaceae
Description: long non-coding RNA (BNAP_LNC009448)
Source: RNAcentral